Molecule: ribosomal RNA, 465 nt
Filed under: Vreelandella stevensii
Lineage: Bacteria; Pseudomonadati; Pseudomonadota; Gammaproteobacteria; Oceanospirillales; Halomonadaceae
Description: partial 16S ribosomal RNA
Rfam family: Bacterial small subunit ribosomal RNA
Source: RNAcentral
CCUACGGGUGGCAGCAGUGGGGAAUAUUGGACAAUGGGGGCAACCCUGAUCCAGCCAUGCCGCGUGUGUGAAGAAGGCCCUCGGGUUGUAAAGCACUUUCAGUGAGGAAGAACGCCUGGUGGUUAAUACCCAUCAGGAAAGACUUCACUCACAGAAGAAGCACCGGCUAACUCCGUGCCAGCAGCCGCGGUAAUACGGAGGGUGCGAGCGUUAAUCGGAAUUACUGGGCGUAAAGCGCGCGUAGGUGGCUUGAUAAGCCGGUUGUGAAAGCCCCGGGCUCAACCUGGGAACGGCAUCCGGAACUGUCAAGCUAGAGUGCAGGAGAGGAAGGUAGAAUUCCCGGUGUAGCGGUGAAAUGCGUAGAGAUCGGGAGGAAUACCAGUGGCGAAGGCGGCCUUCUGGACUGACACUGACACUGAGGUGCGAAAGCGUGGGUAGCAAACAGGAUUAGAUACCCGUGUAGUC